GAAGCACCGGCUAACUCCGUGCCAGCAGCCGCGGUAAUACGGAGGGUGCGAGCGUUAAUCGGAAUUACUGGGCGUAAAGCGCAUGCAGGUGGUUUGUUAAGUUCAGAUGUGAAAGACCCGGGGCGUCAACCUCCGGAAUUGCAUUUGAAACUAGGCAGACUAGAGUACUGUAGAGGGGGUAGGAAGUUUCUAGGUGUAGCGGUGAAAUAGCGUAGAGAUCUGAAGGAAUACCGGUGGCGAAGGCGGCCCCCUCGGACAGAUACUGACACUCAGAUGCGAAAGCGUGGGGAGCAAACAGGAUUAGAUACCCUGGUAG
RNAcentral lists this ribosomal RNA (316 nucleotides) under uncultured bacterium. RNAcentral describes it as "bacterial SSU rRNA". It matches the Rfam family "Bacterial small subunit ribosomal RNA", at positions 487 to 793 of the family's 1533-position model. The record is from RNAcentral.